CCUACGGGGGGCAGCAGUGAGGAAUAUUGGUCAAUGGGCGGAAGCCUGAACCAGCCAAGUAGCGUGCGGGAUGAAGGCCCUACGGGUCGUAAACCGCUUUUGCACGGGGAUAACACCCUCCACUUGUGGAGGUCUGCAGGUACCGUGCGAAUAAGGGCCGGCUAAUUCCGUGCCAGCAGCCGCGGUAAUACGGAGGAUCCGAGCGUUAUCCGGAUUUAUUGGGUUUAAAGGGAGCGUAGAUGGGUUGUUAAGUCAGUUGUGAAAGUUUGCGGCUCAACCGUAAAAUUGCAAUUGAUACUGGCAGCCUUGAGUACAGUUGAGGUAGGCGGAAUUCGUGGUGUAGCGGUGAAAUGCUUAGAUAUCACGAAGAACUCCGAUUGCGAAGGCAGCCUACUAAACUGCCACUGACAUUGAUGCUCGAAAGUGUGGGUAUCAAACAGGAUUAGAUACCCUAGUAGUC
RNAcentral lists this ribosomal RNA (460 nucleotides) under uncultured bacterium. RNAcentral describes it as "partial 16S ribosomal RNA". It matches the Rfam family "Bacterial small subunit ribosomal RNA", at positions 338 to 795 of the family's 1533-position model. The record is from RNAcentral.